Molecule: ribosomal RNA, 440 nt
Filed under: uncultured bacterium
Lineage: Bacteria
Description: partial 16S ribosomal RNA
Rfam family: Bacterial small subunit ribosomal RNA
Source: RNAcentral
CCUACGGGAGGCAGCAGUAGGGAAUAUUGCUCAAUGGGGGAAACCCUGAAGCAGCAACGCCGCGUGGAGGAUGAAGGUUCUCGGAUUGUAAACUCCUUUUGUUAGAGAAGAUAAUGAUGGUAUCUAACGGAUAAGCUACGGAUAACUCCGUGCCAGAAGCCGCGGUAAUACGGAGGGUGCAAGCGUUAUUCGGAAUAACUGGGCGUAAAGCGCGCGUAGGCGGGAUAGCAAGUCAGAUGUGAAAUCCUAUGGCUUAACCAUAGAACUGCAGUUGAAACUGUUAUUCUAGAGUAUGGGAGAGGUAGGUGGAAUUCUUGGUGUAGGGGUAAAAUCCGUAGAGAUCAAGAGGAAUACUCAUUGCGAAGGCGACCUGCUAGAACAUAACUGACGCUGAGGCGCGAAAGCGUGGGGAUCAAACAGGAUUAGAUACCCGGGUAGUC